Molecule: ribosomal RNA, 429 nt
Filed under: Chloroflexota bacterium
Lineage: Bacteria; Bacillati; Chloroflexota
Description: Chloroflexi bacterium partial 16S ribosomal RNA
Rfam family: Bacterial small subunit ribosomal RNA
Source: RNAcentral
UGGGGAAUAUUGCACAAUGGGCGCAAGCCUGAUGCAGCCAUGCCGCGUGUAUGAAGAAGGCCUUCGGGUUGUAAAGUACUUUCAGCGGGGAGGAAGGGAGUAAAGUUAAUACCUUUACUCAUUGACGUUACCCGCAGAAGAAGCACCGGCUAACUCCGUGCCAGCAGCCGCGGUAAUACGGAGGGUGCAAGCGUUAAUCGGAAUUACUGGGCGUAAAGCGCACGCAGGCGGUUUGUUAAGUCAGAUGUGAAAUCCCCGGGCUCAACCUGGGAACUGCAUUCGAAACUGGCAGGCUAGAGUCUUGUAGAGGGGGGUAGAAUUCCAGGUGUAGCGGUGAAAUGCGUAGAGAUCUGGAGGAAUACCGGUGGCGAAGGCGGCCCCCUGGACAAAGACUGACGCUCAGGUGCGAAAGCGUGGGGAGCAAACAGG